This 61-nucleotide transfer RNA is filed under the name Podarcis lilfordi (Lilford's wall lizard). Its description in RNAcentral is "tRNA.Undet". It matches the Rfam family "tRNA". Rfam says of the family: Transfer RNA (tRNA) molecules are approximately 80 nucleotides in length. Their secondary structure includes four short double-helical elements and three loops (D, anti-codon, and T loops). Further hydrogen bonds mediate the characteristic L-shaped molecular structure. tRNAs have two regions of fundamental functional importance: the anti-codon, which is responsible for specific mRNA codon recognition, and the 3' end, to which the tRNAs corresponding amino acid is attached (by aminoacyl-tRNA synthetases). tRNAs cope with the degeneracy of the genetic code in two manners: having more than one tRNA (with a specific anti-codon) for a particular amino acid; and 'wobble' base-pairing, i.e. permitting non-standard base-pairing at the 3rd anti-codon position. Lineage: Eukaryota; Metazoa; Chordata; Lepidosauria; Squamata; Lacertidae. The record is from RNAcentral.
AUAGCUGUAGCUCAGUGGUUGAGCAUGCAGAAGGUCCCAGGUUCAAUCCCCAGCAGCAAUU